UACAGAGGGUGCUAGCGUUGUUCGGAAUCAUUGGGCGUAAAGGGCGUGUAGGCGGUUUGUUAAGUCAUGUGUGAAAUCCCCCGGCUUAACCUGGGAACUGCGUCUGAUACUGGGAGGCUUGAGUAUGGGAGAGGGAUGUAGAAUUCCAGGUGUAGCGGUGAAAUGCGUAGAUAUCUGGAGGAAUACCGGUGGCGAAGGCGGCAUCCUGGACCAUAACUGACGCUGAGGCGCGAAAGCUAGGGGAGCAAACGGGG
Molecule: ribosomal RNA, 254 nt
Filed under: uncultured bacterium
Lineage: Bacteria
Description: partial 16S ribosomal RNA
Rfam family: Bacterial small subunit ribosomal RNA
Source: RNAcentral